CCGAAUCGAGCACGAUUCCGAAUCGAGCCCGAGCAGUUUCAAUUUUUCGAACGAAUAUGAUCCGAGUAUCAAUAUAAAAUUACAAUUUGAGGAGGUUCGAGUAAUUUAUCGAACUUUAAAAUUUUCUAAUAUUUGACUCAUUUAUAUUUUGUGUCGAGCCCGAGAUGUUCGCUUAUUCCACACACUUAGUCAUUGCACCUUCUUUAUUAAAAUCAAUUAUGAGAAAAUCGGAUUAACAUGGUUAACCCCUUCUUUGCUUAACAUGGUUGUCCAAAUUUACCUUACAUUUGUUCUAAACCUUCUCAAAUUUCAACACCCCAUUUUAUCAGCUUUCAGCCUGUCAAAAGAUUUAUUAUAAGUUCAAAUAUGAUGACAAUGAUAAUAUGCAUAAUUUGUUGAAAAAUUAGUUUUAAAUUUGUUGAUUAAUACUGAAGAAAAUCUCAUUGCCGAACUGGCCUUCCAAACUUAACCGCACAAAC
RNAcentral lists this long non-coding RNA (479 nucleotides) under Panax ginseng (ginseng). RNAcentral's name for it is "long non-coding RNA (PGIN_LNC012166)". The record is from RNAcentral. Lineage: Eukaryota; Viridiplantae; Streptophyta; Magnoliopsida; Apiales; Araliaceae.